UGGGGAAUUUUGGACAAUGGGCGCAAGCCUGAUCCAGCCAUGCCGCGUGCGGGAAGAAGGCCUUCGGGUUGUAAACCGCUUUUGUCAGGGAAGAAAUCUUCUGAGUUAAUACCUCGGGAGGAUGACGGUACCUGAAGAAUAAGCACCGGCUAACUACGUGCCAGCAGCCGCGGUAAUACGUAGGGUGCAAGCGUUAAUCGGAAUUACUGGGCGUAAAGCGUGCGCAGGCGGUUUUGUAAGACAGAGGUGAAAUCCCCGGGCUCAACCUGGGAACUGCCUUUGUGACUGCAAGGCUUGAGUGCGGCAGAGGGGGGAUGGAAUUCCGCGUGUAGCAGUGAAAUGCGUAGAUAUGCGGAGGAACACCGAUGGCGAAGGCAAUCCCCUGGGCCUGCACUGACGCUCAUGCACGAAAGCGUGGGGAGCAAACAGGAUUAGAUACCCUGGUAGUCCACGCCCUAAACGAUGUCAACUGGUUGUUGGGAAGGUUCCUUCUCAGUAACGUAGCUAACGCGUGAAGUUGACCGCCUGGGGAGUACGGCCGCAAGGUUGAAACUUAAAUGAAUUGACGGGGU
This 572-nucleotide ribosomal RNA is filed under the name uncultured bacterium. RNAcentral's name for it is "partial 16S ribosomal RNA". It matches the Rfam family "Bacterial small subunit ribosomal RNA", at positions 355 to 919 of the family's 1533-position model. The record is from RNAcentral.